GGGCCCGCACAAGCAGCGGAGCGUGUGGUUUAAUUCGAUGAUACGCGAAGAACCUUACCUGGGUUUGACAUAGGGGUAGUAGCGAGGUGAAAGCUAAGCGACCCUUCGGGGAGCCUCUACAGGUGCUGCAUGGCUGUCGUCAGCUCGUGUCGUGAGAUGUUGGGUUAAGUCCCGCAACGAGCGCAACCCUCGUCGUUAGUUACAAGUGUCUAACGAGACUGCUGGUAUCAAACCGGAGGAAGGUGGGGAUGACGUCAAGUCAGCAUGGUCUUUAUAUCCAGGGCUACACACACGCUACAAUGGUCGGUACAAUAGGUUGCCACACCGCGAGGUGGAGCUAAUCCUAAAAGCCGGUCUCAGUUCAGAUUGCAGUCUGCAACUCGACUGCAUGAAGGUGGAGUUGCUAGUAACCGCGCGUCAGCCAUAGUGCGGUGAAUGCGUUCCCGGGCCUU
Molecule: ribosomal RNA, 452 nt
Filed under: uncultured bacterium
Lineage: Bacteria
Description: bacterial SSU rRNA
Rfam family: Bacterial small subunit ribosomal RNA
Source: RNAcentral